GAUGAACGCUAGCGGCAGGCCUAACACAUGCAAGUCGAGGGGCAGCAUAGGGUAGCAAUACUCUGAUGGCGACCGGCAAACGGGUGAGUAACGCGUAUGCAACCUACCCUGUACAGGGGGAUAACCCGGAGAAAUUCGGACUAAUAUCCCGUAAUAAUAUCCGGAGGCAUCUUUGGAUAUUUAAAGUUCCGACGGUACGGGAUGGGCAUGCGUAACAUUAACUGGUUGGUAAGGUAACGGCUUACCAAGGCUAUGAUGUUUAGGGGUCCUGAGAGGGUGGUCCCCCACACUGGUACUGAGACACGGACCAGACUCCUACGGGAGGCAGCAGUGAGGAAUAUUGGUCAAUGGGCGCAAGCCUGAACCAGCCAUCCCGCGUGCAGGAAGACGGCCCUAUGGGUUGUAAACUGCUUUUCCAGGGAGAGAAACUUACGCACGUGUUGCGUGACUGACGGUACCCUGGGAAUAAGCAUCGGCUAACUCCGUG
Molecule: ribosomal RNA, 487 nt
Filed under: uncultured bacterium
Lineage: Bacteria
Description: bacterial SSU rRNA
Rfam family: Bacterial small subunit ribosomal RNA
Source: RNAcentral